This 72-nucleotide transfer RNA is filed under the name Cavia porcellus (domestic guinea pig). It matches the Rfam family "tRNA". Rfam says of the family: Transfer RNA (tRNA) molecules are approximately 80 nucleotides in length. Lineage: Eukaryota; Metazoa; Chordata; Mammalia; Rodentia; Caviidae. The record is from Rfam by way of RNAcentral.
GGGUGUGUGGCUCAAUAGUAGAACACUUGCCUAACAUGUACAAAACCUUGGGUCCAAUCCCCAAUACACCCU